AGCAGCCGCGGUAAUUCCAGCUCCAAUAGCGUAUAUUAAAGUUGCUGCAGUUAAAAAGCUCGUAGUUGAAUUUCGGGGUCAGUAGGUUGGUCGUGCCACUGGUAUGUACUGGUCUCACUGAUUCCUCCUUCCUGAUGAGCCGUAAUGCCAUUAAUUUGGUGUUGCGAGGAAUCUGGACUGUUACUUUGAAAAAUUAGAGUGUUUAAAGCAGGCUAAUGCUUGAAUACAUUAGCAUGGAAUAAUGGAAUAGGACGUUCGAUCCUAUUUUGUUGGUUUCUAGGAUUGACGUAAUGAUUAAUAGGGAUAGUUGGGGGCAUUAGUAUUCAAUUGUCAGAGGUGAAAUUCUUGGAUUUAUUGAAGACUAACUACUGCGAAAGCAUUUGCCAAGGAUGUUUUCAUUAAUCAAGAACGAAAGUUAGGGGAUCGAAGACGAUCAGAUACCGUCGUAGUCUUAACCAUAAACUAUGCCGACUAGGGAUCGGAUGAUGUUAAUUUUAAUGACUCAUUC
RNAcentral lists this ribosomal RNA (508 nucleotides) under uncultured Glomeromycotina. RNAcentral describes it as "SSU rRNA". It matches the Rfam family "Eukaryotic small subunit ribosomal RNA", at positions 569 to 1081 of the family's 1831-position model. The record is from RNAcentral. Lineage: Eukaryota; Fungi; Glomeromycota.